Condylura cristata (star-nosed mole) is the source of this 1738-nucleotide long non-coding RNA. RefSeq lists it as uncharacterized. NCBI's taxonomy places the organism in Eukaryota, Metazoa, Chordata, Mammalia, Eulipotyphla, Talpidae. The transcript is spliced from 7 exons. The record is from RefSeq and is a predicted model, not a curated record.
CCCGCCGGGCCCCGGGAGCACACGAAACACACCCUCCCCCUGCCCCCACCCGGAGGCUGUUCCAGACGCUCGGAGGCUGGCGCGUGCCUGCAGCGAUUUCCAGAAAUGCAUUUGAAUAGGUCCGCUUCCAGAUCCCGAGAAACAGCCCGAGGGGAGAGCAAGGGCUGAAAACUCUGCGGCUCCAUCCUUGGGUGCAAAGGAGAAACCACAGCGGACUUGUCAGCGGAUCUCAAAUAAACUCAAAUUCCGUCCUUCUCACUGGCUCACUGGCCGUGGGCACCUGAGCUGACCAGGCAAAGCCCAUUCCUGCCUCUAAAGAUGAAUGAGCACAAGCCGGCUCCCCCAGGGGUUUGGGUUCUGAGAGUGGAGAUCUAAAUGAGCCCCUGCCUGGUCUACCCACCAGAUUUCUUCCUCCGGCACCUGGAAAAAGCCUCCACCCUGUUCUCAGAGUUGCAUCUUUAACCACAGCCUGCAAGGCAACCACAGGGCCUUUGCACUGGCUGUGGCCUCUGCCUGGGAUGCUUUUCCUGAGACCCGCGCCCAGGGUGACCGUCCAUCCAUGCUUGCCGAAGAGUGAAGGGCUUCUGGGGAACAUGGAAGGGCCAGUGCUAACCUGGAAAGGUGCUGGGGAAGCCUCCGCCCUCCACAGCAUCCAGCCCUAGUCACACAGCUCGGCCAUGAGACCCUCUGCGAGGCCAACUUCUAACAGCCACCUCCUUCCCCUGGGUCUUCCGCUGUUGCCUGAUUUUUCUCAGCGGCACCGCCCACAUCUAAAAAGCCAUCUUAUUUGUUUCUCUUUCCUUUCACCCCAAUUUGACCCACAGUAGCUGUUCUAUAAAUCUCUCAAAUAAAUGAACGAGUUUCCAGAGAAGCAUUGACUGGCCUGGGCCUGUGCUCAGCCCUUUACACAGAGGAGUUCCUUUUGUCCUUCACGCAACCCUAAAAGGAGAUCUGGUCAGAACCUCUCUUACAGCGAGGACACUGAGUGCCUGUGCCCCAUCACCAAGCCGGUCACUGGGCCUUCUGCAACCUCCCUUCACUCCUCCAACAUGCAGUGACUGGCGCCUACUGCGUGCCGGGUGUUAUGGUGGAGGCCUGGGAACCUGAGGAAACACAGAUUUCAGCGCGCCCGCCCGCAGCACAGUUCCGGGAGACACAGCCAAAACAAAGACAGGGAAGAAAGCGAGGUCCAAGAAGCUGAUGGGGACCGAUAAAUGGAAGCCCCGAAAGCUUCUCCACCCGCUGGAGACGCCCUGCCUCCCACUGCUGGUUCCCUGCCCGCUGGGUGCCCCAGACAAGAGCCCAGGACCUUCCCCGAUGCCCCUGGAAACCUGCAGGUGACCCACUCCCCACCCAGGACCGUGGGUGGCCGGAGGGCCUCCCUCUCAGCAGCCCGCAGCCCCUAGCAUCUGCUUCCGGAGGAUGCCAACGGACCCAGGGUGGCCGUGGUCUGUGCUCUCGAGUUGUUGGGGCUGACAGGAGGUGACCGGGGGUGGCAGAAGCAACAGAAAGAAGAAGCGUAACAAGAUGUGCUCACUGUGGGGACGAAGGUUUGCUCACUGUGGUUUCUGCCCCAGGACCUUUGCACACUCUUGCCCUCCCAGGUGGCGCAACAGGUUAAAGCACAGGACUGUGAAGCUGUCGGCAGUCACCACAGCAGGAGCCCCAUCCCCGGCCAGGGAGUGACCCACAGAGCACAGCCGACCUCUCCUGUCUCCCCCUGCGCCCCUCAGUGGUA